ACGAACGCUGGCGGCGUGCCUAAUACAUGCAAGUAGAACGCACAGUUUAUACCGUAGCUUGCUACACCAUAAACUGUGAGUUGCGAACGGGUGAGUAACGCGUAGGUAACCUGCCUGGUAGCGGGGGAUAACUAUUGGAAACGAUAGCUAAUACCGCAUAAUAUUGAUUAUUGCAUGAUAAUUGAUUGAAAGAUGCUAUUGCAUCACUACCAGAUGGACCUGCGUUGUAUUAGCUAGUAGGUGAGGUAACGGCUCACCUAGGCGACGAUACAUAGCCGACCUGAGAGGGUGAUCGGCCACACUGGGACUGAGACACGGCCCAGACUCCUACGGGAGGCAGCAGUAGGGAAUCUUCGGCAAUGGACGAAAGUCUGACCGAGCAACGCCGCGUGAGUGAAGAAGGUUUUCGGAUCGUAAAGCUCUGUUGUAAGAGAAGAACGGGUGUGAGAGUGGAAAGUUCACACUGUGACGGUAUCUUACCAGAAAGAGACGGCUAACUACGUG
Molecule: ribosomal RNA, 504 nt
Filed under: uncultured bacterium
Lineage: Bacteria
Description: partial 16S ribosomal RNA
Rfam family: Bacterial small subunit ribosomal RNA
Source: RNAcentral